AUGGAAUGGAGCUGGAUCAUCCUCUUCAUAUUUUCUGUGACUACAGGUGUCCACUCCGAGGUUCAGCUGCAGCAGUCUGGGGCUGAGCUGAGCCUGGGUCCUCAGUGAAGUUGUCCUGCAAGGCUUCUGGCUACACCUUCACUGACUACUAUAUGCACUGGGUGAAGCAGAGUCCUGGACAAGGCAUGGAAUGGAUUGGAUGGAAUAAUCCUUCAAGUGGUGGUACUGGCUACAAUCAGAAGUUCAAGGGAAAGGCCACACUGACCGCAGACACAUCCUCCAGCACAGCCUACAUGGAGCUCAGCAGCCUGACAUCUGAGGACUCUGCUGUCUAUUACUGUGCAAGACACAGUGCUGCAACCACAUCCUGA
This is a non-coding RNA of Acomys russatus (golden spiny mouse), 371 nucleotides long. Lineage: Eukaryota; Metazoa; Chordata; Mammalia; Rodentia; Muridae. The record is from the annotation of a RefSeq genome assembly.